ACUCCUACGGGAGGCAGCAGUGGGAAUAUUGGACAAUGGGGGGAAACCCUAGUCCAGCCAUGCCGCGUGUGUGAAGAAAGGCCCUUCGGGUUGUAAAAGCACUUUCAGUGGGGAGGAAAGGUUGAUGGUUAAUACCUAUCAGCUGUGACGUUACCCACAGAAGAAGCACCGGCUAACUCCGUGCCAGCAGCCGCGGUAAUACGGAGGGUGCAAGCGUUAAUCGGAAUUACUGGGCGUAAAGCGUGCGCAGGCGGUCUGUUAAGCGAGAUGUGAAAGCCCCGGCUGC
RNAcentral lists this ribosomal RNA (286 nucleotides) under uncultured bacterium. RNAcentral's name for it is "partial 16S ribosomal RNA". It matches the Rfam family "Bacterial small subunit ribosomal RNA", at positions 335 to 610 of the family's 1533-position model. The record is from RNAcentral.